This is a long non-coding RNA of Homo sapiens (human), 273 nucleotides long. The record is from Ensembl. NCBI's taxonomy places the organism in Eukaryota, Metazoa, Chordata, Mammalia, Primates, Hominidae.
CCCUUCCUUAAAAUUGCUACAAGCCACUGAAGAGCAUCUUCCUUGUUCUAUGUGUCCAGCUUCAGUCUCGUCGCUGGACAUUUGGUUCCAGAUCUAAAGCAGCAGAGGGCAGUGGCCGUAUGUGGAGCUGUUAUUAACUGCAUCACCUUGUUGUGAGGAUCAAAUUUGAUGGUGUUUGUGAAGAGCUUUGCCCAGUGGCUGGCAGCCUGUGAUCAUGGCUCUGUAAAUGGAGGCUGCCAUCAUCAUAAUAUCAUUAUGAAGCCCCUGAUCUCA